RNAcentral lists this ribosomal RNA (460 nucleotides) under uncultured bacterium. Its description in RNAcentral is "partial 16S ribosomal RNA". It matches the Rfam family "Bacterial small subunit ribosomal RNA", at positions 338 to 795 of the family's 1533-position model. The record is from RNAcentral.
CCUACGGGAGGCUGCAGUGAGGAAUAUUGGUCAAUGGACGGAAGUCUGAACCAGCCAUGCCGCGUGCAGGAAGACGGCUCUAUGAGUUGUAAACUGCUUUUGUACAAGGGUAAACCUGAAUACGUGUAUUCAGCUGAAAGUACUGUACGAAUAAGGAUCGGCUAACUCCGUGCCAGCAGCCGCGGUAAUACGGAGGAUCCAAGCGUUAUCCGGAUUUAUUGGGUUUAAAGGGUGCGUAGGCGGAUUGAUAAGUUAGAGGUGAAAUGUCCGAGCUUAACUCGGGCACUGCCUCUAAUACUGUUGAUCUAGAGAGUAGAUGCGGUAGGCGGAAUGUAUGGUGUAGCGGGGAAAUGCUUAGAGAUCAUACAGAACACCGAUUGCGAAGGCAGCUUACCAAUCUAUAUCUGACGUUGAGGCACGAAAGCGUGGGGAGCAAACAGGAUUAGAUACCCGAGUAGUC